RNAcentral lists this signal recognition particle RNA (117 nucleotides) under Chlorocebus sabaeus (green monkey). RNAcentral describes it as "Metazoan signal recognition particle RNA". It matches the Rfam family "Metazoan signal recognition particle RNA". From Rfam's summary of the family: The signal recognition particle (SRP) is a universally conserved ribonucleoprotein. The record is from Rfam by way of RNAcentral. Lineage: Eukaryota; Metazoa; Chordata; Mammalia; Primates; Cercopithecidae.
GCCGGGCGUGGUGGCUCACGCCUGUAAUCCCAGCACUUUGGGAGGCUGAGGCGGGAGGAUCACCUGAGGUCAGGAGUUUGAGACCAGCCUGGCCAACAUGGUGAAACCCCGUCUCUA